Non-coding RNA from Danio rerio (zebrafish), 990 nucleotides. Lineage: Eukaryota; Metazoa; Chordata; Actinopteri; Cypriniformes; Danionidae. The record is from RefSeq and is a predicted model, not a curated record.
AAUGUAACAGCUUGACGUUGUGUGGACGUUCCCACUAUGACGUCUAUCAGACAUUGGAUUUUGGUUGCCAUACCUGACGAAUAAAUGUCAGUAUUUGACGUCAAUAUGAUUUUGGGUUGAGAUGUUGGCUUGAUGCUGGAAUUUGGUCACUUUCUAACACAACCUUAAAUCAACUUAAUAUCAACAUGAUCUGACAUCAUUACUGGAUGUUAAAAUAACGUUGUUCUUAGAUGCUGGAAAGACAUUGAAUUUUGGUCAACUAACGUCAUGACCAUAAAUCUAACCUAAUAGUAACGUUGUGUGCCUGCUGGGUUAGAAUAUGUUUUGCUUUUGCCAAAUUUCACGCUUCUUAAAAUAUUGCAUCCUACAAAGCAAUACAAAAAGUCAUUCUUGACUGCCAAUAUUCCUUUGGUAAAAACUUGCAUUUCCAAUCGAAUGUGAGGUUACAAGUGAACCAACUGCUCCAAGACACUGAAAACACUGUUACAACGAGCUGCUCAUGUGUAAAUAAACCACAUUACGUUCUUGAGCAGUACUAUUACUAAAAUUUAAAAAAAAUUACCAGGGCAAUUUUUGUCACAUUUGUCAUUACAUUUUAGGCCCUGACAUUUUUUGUUUGGGAAGUGUUUUCUUAGACAGUAUAUAGAGUAUGCUAGUAUUCCAUUCCAAACAUAGCCCAUAUCUUCAUGGAAUUUGGACUGUGCCUAUCAAGACCAACAGAUUUCCAACCUGCGUGUUCCAUCUUAAAUAUAAAUCGUGAGAAUUUAUUGUACAUGUGAAAACGAGAACUGAAUGGAAGUGAGAAUUGUACGGCAGCCACACCACAUUUACUUCCCAUUUCUGUACCUGUAGACAAACUCUGACCCAUAGACAAUCAAUCCCUGUGAUGAGCAUUUCAACUACACUGAUAGAUUUGUCUGGAUCCUACAUGUGUAUUCAUUUGUUGGGCUCUCAAUAAACAACAAAUACAACAUUUCUGGAGACAAUUCA